GCGGAGGAAAAGAAACCAACAGGGAUUGCCUCAGUAACGGCGAGUGAAGCGGCAAAAGCUCAAAUUUGAAAUCUGGCACCUUCGGUGUCCGAGUUGUAAUUUGAAGAAGGUAACUUUGGAGUUGGCUCUUGUCUAUGUUCCUUGGAACAGGACGUCACAGAGGGUGAGAAUCCCGUGCGAUGAGAUGCCCAAUUCUAUGUAAAGUGCUUUCGAAGAGUCGAGUUGUUUGGGAAUGCAGCUCUAAGUGGGUGGUAAAUUCCAUCUAAAGCUAAAUAUUGGCGAGAGACCGAUAGCGAACAAGUACAGUGAUGGAAAGAUGAAAAGAACUUUGAAAAGAGAGUGAAAAAGUACGUGAAAUUGUUGAAAGGGAAGGGCUUGAGAUCAGACUUGGUAUUUUGCAAGCCUUACCUUCGUGGUGGGGUCCCCUGCAGUUUACUGGGCCAGCAUCGGUUUGGAUGGUAGGAUAAUGACUUGGGAAUGUGACUUUGCUUCGGUAAAGUGUUAUAGCCCUUGUUGAUACUGCCUGUCUAGACCGAGGACUGCGUCUUUGACUAGGAUGCUGGCAUAAUGAUCUUAAGUCGCCCGU
This 586-nucleotide ribosomal RNA is filed under the name Saccharomycetes sp. HZ10. Its description in RNAcentral is "eukaryotic LSU rRNA". It matches the Rfam family "Eukaryotic large subunit ribosomal RNA", at positions 50 to 652 of the family's 3401-position model. The record is from RNAcentral. Lineage: Eukaryota; Fungi; Ascomycota; Saccharomycetes.